GGCGGGUACAGUGACAGAUGGAGGACCAAGUUGAGGUUCACACUCAACCUGAACCGGGAAGUCACCGUCAGUGCAGGUUCGACUCCUGCGCCCGCCACCA
Molecule: transfer RNA, 100 nt
Filed under: Deinococcus soli (ex Cha et al. 2016)
Lineage: Bacteria; Thermotogati; Deinococcota; Deinococci; Deinococcales; Deinococcaceae
Description: tRNA-Sec
Source: RNAcentral